Long non-coding RNA from Gadus chalcogrammus (walleye pollock), 553 nucleotides. RefSeq lists it as uncharacterized. The record is from RefSeq and is a predicted model, not a curated record. NCBI's taxonomy places the organism in Eukaryota, Metazoa, Chordata, Actinopteri, Gadiformes, Gadidae. The transcript is spliced from 3 exons.
AACUGAUUAAAUAUUUUUGCUCAGGCGAGAAGCGGCCGCCUCAUGGAGUAUGAUGGUGAGGAUGACGGUGGGUAGAGAUGAAAAGGGAAGAAGGCAAAAGACAGAACCCCACAGUCUCUCGUGAACAGCUCCUCCCUGCUCCGACAACACACAGGUUCUCUGUGCACCAGAUCAAACGACGUAUCCGCUUAUCCGAACAAGGACAGGACCGCCGCUGGCUUUCAGACAGCCCUGUGCCGUCCCCAUAAUGGUCACGUGUGGAAAUAACAGUCAGAGCCUCCUCACCUGAACCGCUGGGCCUGGUGGUGCAGGGGCCCAGGGUAGCGCCGGUUGGGGGACUGGUACAGCUGGGACAGCAGGGCCUGGCUGGUCUUCUGGCUGGGGUUGUUGGCGAACUUGACGGUGAUUGGCUCGGCGGCGCCGGACGGCUUCUGCCCGUUCAGGCCCUUGAUGGCCUCCUCGGCCUCUAUCCUCUUAUCAAAGCGGAUGAAGCCCACGCCCCGGGAGCCGCCUGUGGGGCCAGCACAUCACAAAGACACACACCACUUUUACU